AAGCUGUUAUGCGGGCAAUCUCUUACCAACCUUUUAAACCUCGCCCAAGCAUCACUGAGCGAUUCGUCAAUAUACUGUUCGAAAUUAGUGAUCAACUUCCUCCUUCU
Benincasa hispida (wax gourd) is the source of this 107-nucleotide small nucleolar RNA. The record is from RefSeq and is a predicted model, not a curated record. NCBI's taxonomy places the organism in Eukaryota, Viridiplantae, Streptophyta, Magnoliopsida, Cucurbitales, Cucurbitaceae.